CUACGGGUCGCUGCAGUGAGGAAUAUUGCACAAUGGAGGAAACUCUGAUGCAGCAACGCCGCGUGGAGGAUGACGCAUUUCGGUGUGUAAACUCCUUUUAUAUGUCAAGAAAAUGACGGUAGCAUAUGAAUAAGCACCGGCUAACUCCGUGCCAGCAGCCGCGGUAAUACGGAGGGUGCAAGCGUUACUCGGAAUCACUGGGCGUAAAGGACGCGUAGGCGGGAUAUCAAGUCAGGUGUGAAAUCCUACAGCUUAACUGUAGAACUGCACUUGAAACUGGUAACCUAGAGUAUGGGAGGGGGAGAUGGAAUUAGUGGUGUAGGGGUAAAAUCCGUAGAUAUCACUAGGAAUACCUAAAGCGAAGGCGAUCUCCUGGAACAUUACUGACGCUAAGGCGUGAAAGCGUGGGGAGCAAACAGGAUUAGAUACCCGUGUAGUC
Molecule: ribosomal RNA, 439 nt
Filed under: uncultured bacterium
Lineage: Bacteria
Description: partial 16S ribosomal RNA
Rfam family: Bacterial small subunit ribosomal RNA
Source: RNAcentral